This 986-nucleotide long non-coding RNA is filed under the name Homo sapiens (human). RNAcentral describes it as "HSALNT0190835". The record is from RNAcentral. Lineage: Eukaryota; Metazoa; Chordata; Mammalia; Primates; Hominidae.
GGUCACAUGGCCAUAGCUGGUAUUGAUAACUGCCUUCUUCUACUACCCAUUCUGUAUUCCCUUUGCCUUCAACAAGCACCUCAGCUGAUUAUGUUUCUUUAUGGGGUAGGGGUGACUCAGAUCUUUAUUCCUGAAGAGUCUGGGCCAUUCAUAGUCCUGCCUUCGUUGGAUUGUUAUAGUUUCCCACUGACUUUAAUCAAAGGUCAUGGCAAUAAUAAAAGAUUCUCUAGGGCAUAGCCUGUAUUCCAGACAUACUCUUCUUUAUGUCCAUUGUGGAGCAGUAGUCCACUUCUCUCUUGGUAUUCAGAACAGUUACCUCAGCCAGCACUGUAACUCCCUUCUUGGUCUGUUGAUUCAGAGGAAUGAGGAGACCAAAGAGACUGGGUGGGUCUUAACUUCCACUUCAACGAAAUCAUUGUUGUGUCUUCUGGUAGAAGCAUUCCUCUCUCUAGAACUAUGAACUCUAGGUCAGCAGAGCAUAAAGUCAUGGGAACAGGAAGCAAAAAUUUUAUUAGUCCCUAUGGGUAACAGUAAGUGGUGCCACUUCCAUUUUCACCCCUUGAUUCCUAGACCUGUGAAUCCUGACUACCAGAAAAACAGCAGCAUAUAUUGGAUGCUGAUUUAGAGCAUAUUCUGAAGAUCCUUGCCCCAGCCCUGGUAGUAUUGCCACCUAGCUUGAUGCCAGAUGAAUCUUCGAAAGACCAUUCUACCAUUCUAUCAAGAUAGCUGCUGCAGGAUGGUGUCCUUACAAGGAAGUGUGGAAGAGAACAGAUGCUAAUUUAUGACUCCGGAUCAAUUUGCUCAAACCUGCACACAGGCAUUAGAGGCAGAAGAAGGACACCAUUUUUCCCCCCGUUUGGUAUAUACCAUUCCUCUGGUUAUGUUGUUUACUGAUAUCCUGCCUCCGUGUCAGGCUUAAUACAAAUAAAUAAACAAACAACAAUCUCUAUUUUUUUAAAUAAAGGAAGCUUUUUAACCAUUUAAAG